UUGAACGCUGGCGGCAUGCUUUACACAUGCAAGUCGAACGGUAACAGGCCGCAAGGUGCUGACGAGUGGCGAGCGGGUGAGUAAUGCAUCGGAACGUGCCCAGUCGUGGGGGAUAACUACUCGAAAGAGUAGCUAAUACCGCAUACGAUCUAUGGAUGAAAGCGGGGGACCGUAAGGCCUCGCGCGAUUGGAGCGGCCGAUGUCAGAUUAGGUAGUUGGUGGGGUAAAGGCUCACCAAGCCAACGAUCUGUAGCUGGUCUGAGAGGACGACCAGCCACACUGGGACUGAGACACGGCCCAGACUCCUACGGGAGGCAGCAGUGGGGAAUUUUGGACAAUGGGCGCAAGCCUGAUCCAGCAAUGCCGCGUGCAGGAAGAAGGCCUUCGGGUUGUAAACUGCUUUUGUACGGAACGAAACGGCUCUGGUUAAUACCCGGGGCUAAUGACGGUACCGUAAGAAUAAGCACCGGCUAACUACGUG
This 481-nucleotide ribosomal RNA is filed under the name uncultured bacterium. Its description in RNAcentral is "partial 16S ribosomal RNA". It matches the Rfam family "Bacterial small subunit ribosomal RNA", at positions 30 to 507 of the family's 1533-position model. The record is from RNAcentral.